RNAcentral lists this ribosomal RNA (465 nucleotides) under Vreelandella stevensii. Its description in RNAcentral is "partial 16S ribosomal RNA". It matches the Rfam family "Bacterial small subunit ribosomal RNA", at positions 338 to 795 of the family's 1533-position model. Lineage: Bacteria; Pseudomonadati; Pseudomonadota; Gammaproteobacteria; Oceanospirillales; Halomonadaceae. The record is from RNAcentral.
CCUACGGGUGGCAGCAGUGGGGAAUAUUGGACAAUGGGGGGAACCCUGAUCCAGCCAUGCCGCGUGUGUGAAGAAGGCCCUCGGGUUGUAAAGCACUUUCAGUGAGGAAGAACGCCUGGUGGUUAAUACCCAUCAGGAAAGACAUCACUCACAGAAGAAGCACCGGCUAACUCCGUGCCAGCAGCCGCGGUAAUACGGAGGGUGCGAGCGUUAAUCGGAAUUACUGGGCGUAAAGCGCGCGUAGGUGGCUUGAUAAGCCGGUUGUGAAAGCCCCGGGCUCAACCUGGGAACGGCAUCCGGAACUGUCAAGCUAGAGUGCAGGAGAGGAAGGUAGAAUUCCCGGUGUAGCGGUGAAAUGCGUAGAGAUCGGGAGGAAUACCAGUGGCGAAGGCGGCCUUCUGGACUGACACUGACACUGAGGUGCGAAAGCGUGGGUAGCAACCAGGAUUAGAUACCCUAGUAGUC